Molecule: ribosomal RNA, 253 nt
Filed under: uncultured bacterium
Lineage: Bacteria
Description: partial 16S ribosomal RNA
Rfam family: Bacterial small subunit ribosomal RNA
Source: RNAcentral
UACGUAGGGGGCAAGCGUUGUCCGGAUUCAUUGGGCGUAAAGAGCGUGUAGGCGGCCAGGUAGGUCGGUUGUGAAAGCCCCCGGCUCAACUGGGGAGGGUCAUUCGAUACUGAUCGACUCGAAGGCAGGAGAGGGUAGUGGAAUUCCCGGUGUAGUGGUGAAAUGCGUAGAUAUUCGGAGGAACACCAGUGGCGAAGGCGGCUCACUGGCUCGGUACUGACGCUGAGGUGCGAAAGCUAGGGUAGCAAACGGG